UACGUAGGGGGCUAGCGUUGUCCGGAAUCAUUGGGCGUAAAGCGCGUGUAGGCGGUCCGGUAAGUCCGCUGUGAAAGUCGGGGGCUCAACCCUCGAAUGCCGGUGGAUACUGUCGGGCUAGAGUGCGGAAGAGGCGAGUGGAAUUCCUGGUGUAGCGGUGAAAUGCGCAGAUAUCAGGAGGAACACCUAUUGCGAAGGCAGCUCGCUGGGAUGUAACUGACGCUGAGACGCGAAAGCGUGGGGAGCAAACAGG
This 253-nucleotide ribosomal RNA is filed under the name uncultured bacterium. RNAcentral describes it as "partial 16S ribosomal RNA". It matches the Rfam family "Bacterial small subunit ribosomal RNA", at positions 524 to 776 of the family's 1533-position model. The record is from RNAcentral.